GACGAACGCUGGCGGCGUGCUUAACACAUGCAAGUCGAACGGAAAGGCCCCCACCUUGGUGGGGGUGCUCGAGUGGCGAACGGGUGAGUAACACGUGGGUGAUCUGCCCUGUACUUCGGGAUAAGCUUGGGAAACUGGGUCUAAUACCGGAUAGGACCAUGGUUUAGUGUCUCAUGGUGGAAAAAUUAUUGUUUUGGUGCAGGAUGAGCUCGCGGCCUAUCAGCUUGUUGGUGGGGUAAUGGCCUACCAAGGCGUCGACGGGUAGCCGGCCUGAGAGGGUGGACGGCCAAAUGGGGACUGAGAGACGGCCCAGACGCCUACGGGAGGCAGCAGUGGGGAAUAUUGCACAAUGGGAGCAAGCCUGAUGCAGCGACGCCGCGUGGGGGAGGACGGCCGUCGGGUUGUAAGCUCCUUUCGUUAGGGACGAAGCCACACCUUUUUUGGGUGUGGUGACGGUACCUUUGUGAAGAAGCACCGGCUAACUACGUG
Molecule: ribosomal RNA, 489 nt
Filed under: uncultured bacterium
Lineage: Bacteria
Description: partial 16S ribosomal RNA
Rfam family: Bacterial small subunit ribosomal RNA
Source: RNAcentral